Molecule: non-coding RNA, 6866 nt
Organism: Rattus norvegicus (Norway rat)
Lineage: Eukaryota; Metazoa; Chordata; Mammalia; Rodentia; Muridae
Source: RefSeq, a predicted model, not a curated record
AUCCACCUGUAUAAUCCAGGAUAAUCUUAUUACAAUUUCCUUAACAUAACUGAAUUGGCAAACACUUUUUUCCCAAAACAAAGUCACAUUUAUGAGUUACAAAUCCAACCAGCCAUUCCAAAUUAUAGGAGAAAACCCCAUCAGCGCUAGAAGUGAAUUCAUUCAAUUAUCCUUUCUUCUCCAGGAUUUAAGUUCUUGUCAGAGAAAUGGAAGUUGCUCUGAACUUGAACUCUGCUCUUGGUUCAGUGGCCUGGUUCUUCCAUUAUUGGUCUCAUUUUGGCUUAACCCUGGAACAACUCUUGAUAUGUUGUAUAACUGCCUGACUCUACUCUGGGUUUCAUGUUUCUGGUGGCUUCUCCCAUAUUCAUCUUCCUCCUCAUGGACCAGCCUCCUUAUCAAUAGGCUGCCACACAAAAUACAUUCACUCUCCUAUGUUUGAAGCAUAGUCCAGUGAAAGUCCCCAAGGGCCUUCAUCAGGGUCUGAGAGGAGCUAGAAAGCCAUUCUCUUCCAUAUCCCCUGUGGUUUCCUUCAUAGUUAUGUAUAAGCCUAGAUUUGGCUUGGAGCUUUUUCCUCCAGCAGUUCCAGGAAGUGCUCCUGGGGCCUCUGUAGCCCACACUUCCUUGUUUCCUUGGGUUCUGUUUGUUCACAACCAAGGGUUGAUUUUUAUCAAUCCUUUGCUCGGGAUUUAUGGUAUUCUUUAAAAAGUUGCAUUUCCACUAUGACUCCAGACAGAUUCUUGUUUCUUUCUUGUCUAAAUUCUGUAUUUCCUGUCUUUGUUUAUCUUUUGGUCUCUGGGUGAUACUCUUUUUUUUUUUUCCUCCUUAGAGAAUGAACCAAUUACAAUGUUCAAUUUUUAAUUUGUUAAUCCAUUUCAUUACCUAUUAUUCUUUAUUUACUAACUCAUUUGCUGAAACCCUUAUUAGCUGCUCUAGGGUAUGGUUCUAUAAUUUUCUUUGAUUCUUAGCACUAGAAUCCUGAGCACUGACGGUGUGACAUGUGAUUUGGGCUAAUCCACAUCCUGACCUUUCCCUCACCAGAAGUAUCCACUGAUUCACAUGUCAUCACUGCAACCUUUGUUCCUUAAAGACACAGAAAAGCUAUAAAGACAAAUGGUAUACACGUUGUUACUCAAAUAUUUAAGUUUAUAAUCUUGCUUUUGUAUGACUGCUUUAUUUAAAGUGAUUUAUCAUGAGUAAGGAAGUAGGGAAAUGUCAGUUUGACGUACACACCAAAUUAGUGCUGGAAUGGAAUGAAAGGGUUUGGGUUGGUUUUUUUUUUUUCAGAGUGUUUGCAUUAAUAGUAACACUAGAUAUUUACUUUUUAUUAACUGGGCUUCCAUACGCAGGAAGUUUAUUUUGUUAGAGUACCUGCAUGACAAUAAAGUGCUCCUAAUUUCAACCUUUAUUUCUGCUACUAAUUGCUUUUUUGUGGUUAGUAAACCAUUUGGUAUCCUUUGGGCCCAGGGGGAUUUACACAUAUGUAUAUACAUGCAAUAUGCACAUACAUAUACAUAUAUAUGUAUAUAUCUACACACAUACACAUAUGUAUGUAUACAUAUACAUUCAUGUAUAUACACACAUAUACUUAUAUAUGUAUAUAUCUACACACAUAUAUACAUAUGUAUAUACAUGUAAUAUACACACACAUAUAUGUAUAUACACACAUAUAUGUAUAUACACACUUAUAUAUACACAAACAUAUACACACUAUAUAUGUAUUACACACACAUACAGAUGUAUAUGUAUAUUUAUAUGCACACACGUUUAUGUAUGUAUAUAUACAUAUAUAGGUAUAUAUAUACACACACAUAUAUUCAAAAGAGUCUAUAAUAUCAACUUCAUAGCCCAUGUUUAUUUUCUAAUAAAGGACCCACGAGGCUCACAAGGCAGCACACCGAUAGUAUCUUUUUGGGAACUGCAAUUAUAGCCUAGUUGGUGGAUGUUCACUAGCAUCCACAAAGACCUAAGUUUAAAUCUCAGGGACUACAUAUAUGUUGAAGGUCUAUAAUCCCACCAGUGAUGGAGUGGAGACAGGAGGGUCAAAAGUUCAGUAUCAUCCUUGGCUACAUUUCAAGUUCAAGGACAGCCUGGGAUGUAUAAGACACUAUCUCAAACGAACAAAACAAACCCCAAAACCUGUCUUCUCUACACCUCCUACCUUUCCCUUGACCACUGUCUCCAUAUCUAAACCUUUUCCAAACAGGAGUUGUCCACGGCUCACCACAUCACACAGCAGGUACUGUUCUUAGAACCAAAUGCGUGAAGUCAAAUAUCAUCAUUAUUUUUACAUUUUUUUCUUUCAUUUUCAACCAAGGGUCUUACUGAUACCCGCCAAGGCAAAAAUUGGAAAAUAGCAAACUACUUCAAGGAAAGUUUGGAUGUAAAUCAUUUUCAAUCACAUUUCAUUUCUGUACAAAACGUGCCUUUACCUGCACACAUCAUUAGAAAGAUUGACAGAUGAAAAUCUUAGGCUCCUGGGACCUGGCUCAUGCCUUGUGUGCACUUCCCUCUCGGCAAGCAAAGGAAGCCUUUUCUGUAGCCUCUCCCUUUUCACAGAAAUGUACUGUAAAUUUCUGCCUUUUUUCUUUCUUAGGCAGAUUCUCAUUAUAUAGCACUGGGUGGGCUGGGCUGGUUGAUGUGUACCAUGUGACUUCGUUUUGCAAUUUUUAGUGGCUAAAUUUGUAAAGACUUCUCCUCUUGCUUCUACCAUUUCAGUUGUCUACUCAAAAAAAAUUAAAGAACUGAAAAGGUUUGCCCCCAACUGUCAUUAAAAGCAGUGACAAUUCAAGAUAUGUGAUAAGAUACUAUUUUUUAAAAUUUGAGCAUUCAGGCUGGAGAGAUGGCUCAGCAGUUUAGAGCACUGGUUGCUCUUCCAGAGGUCCUGAGUUCUAUUCCCAGCAACCACAUGGUGGCUCACGACCAUCUGUAAUGGGAUCUGAUGCUCUCAUCUGUACAUGCAGCUAGAACACUCAUAUGCAUGAAAUAAAUAAAUAACAUAAUUCUUAAAAAUUUUUUGAACAUUAAUCAAUUAUCAGAGUACCCCGUUCAGUGGUCUAAUAAAAAAAAAUUAAAGAGUAUAGCAUUGGGUUAUAUACUUAGAUAUUACAGGAGAAGUUGAAUCUCAAGUUCUAUCGAUCUCUAAAUCAAGUCACAGAAGAGUCCCUCGUUUUAACAGCCGACUUUGUUGGCUGCACACCCUGUUGAGACCCAAGAUUUGCAUCUUAAGCAUAGAACGAUACAUUUUAACAACCAGCCGAUGAAGUGCUGAGGCGCGCGGUGAGAUACGAUGCUGAUAGAAGCUUGGAAAACCCUCAGAAUGUUUGGGUGUCAUCUCCAUUAACAAACGAGUAGUAUAGCGACCUACUGACCUCGUCUGUGGUCAAGUCAGGAUGCCCCUAUGGAUCUGAUGCAGGAAAAUGUUACCUGCCACUGCGUCCAUGGGCCAGCGUUUACAACUGUGUCCUCUGGGCAGUUCGAGGCCUGGACCACGUAACAAGGGUCCUUCUCACCAGGCGGGAGAGUUCGUUAGCAAAGACUGUUUCAAGAAAAAGGGUAGGCUGAGAGAUGGCUCAGUUGUUAAAGGCUAGGCUCACAACCAAAAAUGAGUUCGGUUCCCAGUAUCCAUUGCCUUGUUGGGCGCCAAUGGGAGGAGAACCACUGGACCCCCCAGUGUAAAGGAAUGUCAGGGCGGGGAGGUGGGAAGGGUGGGUGAUUGGGGAAACACCCUCGUAGAAGCAGGGGGAGGGGGGAUAGGAUAGGGGGUUUAUGGACAGGAAAUCAGGAAAGGGGAUAACAUUUGAAACGUAAAUUUUAAAAAUCCAAUUUAAAAAAAAGAAAAGAAAAAAGUUUUUUGUUUGGGUUUUUUUGUUUUGUUUUGUUUUGUUUUUUAGUUUCUGUAGUAUCGUUAGAAGGAUCAUCAUGCAUUCUCCAUUCUUCUAAUCAGCCAUGGCGUUACCUCUCUCCUCCCCUGUCAGCCAGAGAGAGAUAAUUACUCUGCGAAUCCCAUUUAAAAAGUCCUGCCCUUUGUAACUGGCUAGUGGGUAGACAGCCUCAGUUUCUUACAAAAACCUCAAAUGACCACCACAUGGGCGUGCACAGACUGCCACACCCCUAUCAUCAUUCUCCUCGAGGUCUAGUACGCCCAACAGGAAGGCAAAGUCCUGAUUCUGAGUAUCAACGAUGACAAAACGUAGCUUUUCUGGAGGUUUAUCAUCAUUCAUACCCUUGGCUCUAGGCUGUCUAUUGAAAAGGCAGCCAGCGAGCUUACCAUUCCUCUUGGCAAACUCCAGUGCCAGCUUUAUGGUUCUGCCAAGUUCUCUGGUAAACACUGGAGCAAAGUCCCAUGGGUGGGAGAGGAAAAUGCCCCAUGUGUCUCCCGGAAGCUAUGGAAACAUGGCAGCCUGGAGCCAUCUCUCAUGAAGGGAUUGUGUUAGACACGGCUCUGUGGAGAUACCACAGAGAGGGCUGCCUUCUGUCCUCUCCACCUCAAGGUCCUUCCACAUUGUGGCAACUGGCAGAAACUUCUUUUCUAGGCUGAGAAACAUUCCACUGCAUACACUGAUUACUGCUUCUUUUUUGUCCCUUAACAUUGGCAGACGGGUUGUUUCUAUACACCAGCUGUGAUGGAGAGAUGUUGUCGGCGCCAGCACCGACCUGGUACCGAGAAUCGGGCGAAAGCCUACGGGAUGAAAGAAACACACAUACACACACACACAGGUUAUCGUGUCAAGCCAGGAGAGGAAGAGAGGAAGAGAGAGAGAGAGAGAGAGAGAGAGAGAGAGAGAGAGAGAGAGAGGAAGAUGGGAUGGAAGAGUGAGAGUGAGGAAGAAGAGUGAGAGUCUCCUGUAGCUUUAUUCACCACUUAUAUACCCAAGUCUCCAGGUAGAAAAUAACUGGGAAGCACAGUGGGAAACCCUGGCUCGUGACUACCUGGCUCGUGACUUCGGUAACAAAAGACCAACUACGAGACCUGAUUAGGGAGAAAUCCCAGAAGACCAGCCUAAAUCUCAAGGAUAAAGGCUGAGGAAGUAAAAGGCAGAAGUAAAUUGACCACCACCCAGGUGUGGUCCAGGUGUGUGGGUUCCACAUGCAUCAGCCGGGCUCAGCAGAGGUCAUGCAGUGGAGAUAUCGGGUGUUUACUACUUGGUCUUUUCUUCCUGUGCCGUAAAUACAUGGGAGAGGCCUCUGUCCAACAAUCCCAUGACUUUUACUGUGGCCAUGCAGUUACAAAGCGGCCAGGCCCAAAUCCAAUAUGGCACUACAAGAUGUGACUAGACGGAAAAACCUUAAGCAACAAACAGCUGUGGGAUUUCAUUUAGCGAGCUCGAAUCUGCAGCUGUUAACCCACGCUUCUGAGAACAACAGCUGUAUUUGCCUGUGUUCUCGAUUUUCUCUCUUCGAGCUGUUCUCUGGCUUUCAGAAGUUGGCUUGUAACUUUUGACCAGAUGGAAUUCGAGCCCUUCUCCAGAUAAUCUGUGAUUUCCCUGACCUUUCUUAUCUUGAACUUUGAUGGGUUAAACUUUGAAAGUCAGUUUGCUAUUAGUCAGAAAGGCCGUGUGCUUUCUUCUCUCUCUCGUUAACUAACAGCAUCUGCACGGCUCUCCCUGGUUCCUCUUUAACUGGCCAGAUUGUUUCACUUCCUUCCCUUUGCUUCUCACUGUGAUAGAACACGGAGUGGAAGCCCCGGUGCUUCCUCAGAUUUUCAGGACAUAGAGAUAGAAUACUUUUGGAAUCAAUAGUAUCACAAUCUUUGUUUAGGGUGGACUUACCGAAGUCAAGAGUCAUUUUUAUUCAGGGCUGGGAAUUGUCUCAGUCAGAGUUCCUACCAUGACCAAAGCAUGUGGGAAGAAGGGCUUCAUUUCUGCUCACAACUCUCAGCUCCCAUCCCUGAGGGAAGUCAGGGCAGGAACUCAAGGAGGUCACAAACCUGGAAGCAGGAACUGAUGCGGAGGCCCUGGAGGAUGCUGCCUACAGGCUUGCUUCUCACAGCUUGCACGACCACCUGCUCCUGGGUGACACUGCCUAGAGCAAGCUGGCCCCUACCACAUCCAUCACCGAUCAAGAAAACACACUACAGGCUUGCUAACAGUCCAGUCUGGGUCAAGGGGGAGGGGACAUUUUCUCCAAUGAGGCUCCCUCUUCCUAAAUGGCUCUAGCCUGUGCUCAGUUGAUAUAAACCAGUCAGCACAGAAACACAGCUCAGUAGGUACAGUGCUUUUCCAGCAUACAUAAAACUCUGGGUUCAGUUAUUAGCUUUACGUAAACCGGGCAUGAUCACAUACGUUUGCAACGCCAGAGCUUGGGGAGGUAGAGGCAGGAAGCUCAGAUGUUUGAGGCCAUCCUUGAUAUCAGAAUGAGUUUAAGGUUAGUUAGACUUCGGUAUGUGAGACCCUGUCUCACAAGAAAGUGGUUUUUCAAAACCGUCUUUUCAUUUAAAUAGCGAAGACUUGGCUUGUGACCCUUGAAGAGAAGGAGAAAAGAUUUCCACGUCAAGGAAAAUCGUGAAAUGUCUCUCGGUGGCCGGUUCUCAGGACCUGUGGUUUUAGGGCUGACAACACCAAUCUUUUCAAAGGUCUGUGCUUUUCCUGUAACAUCGUCACCCCAUAUUUCAGGUUAAAUUACAGCAUGAAGCAUUGAUCUGUGCUAAAUGGCUUCCGGAAAUUCUUUCACUAGUCAUCUUUCAGAGAUGUUAUUAGGAAGGUAACUCUAAAUCAUAAAAGCCGCGUGUAUUUAUAUAUCGUUUAGCUUCUGUCGGGCUGUGUCCCGGCUAUUGGUAGAGACCUCAGGCCCGGCUGGUGCCACUGAUGCUUGCUUUGGAGACACCGCACUGGUUGCGCUGAGCCGGUGCGGGUUGGGGGCGUGGCUGA